RNAcentral lists this unclassified non-coding RNA (243 nucleotides) under Hevea brasiliensis (rubber tree). The record is from RNAcentral. Lineage: Eukaryota; Viridiplantae; Streptophyta; Magnoliopsida; Malpighiales; Euphorbiaceae.
GUUCAAUAAAAAGCAGCAGGGUAGCGAAGACCCUGGAUGCAUUUGGCUUGAAGUUAAUAAUAUAGUUCACAAGUUCAGUCUGGUGAUAGGGUUCGCCCAGAAUUAGCUUCCAUACAUCAGAAAUUGAACGACUUGGAGAAGAAAAUGAAAUUAGCAGGAUAUGUGCCUGAUCUUGAAUAUGCAUUCCAUGAUCUGGGAGGAGCAGAAAGAGCAACUUUUGCUCUGGCACAGCGAGAAUCUGGC